Molecule: long non-coding RNA, 1302 nt
Filed under: Linum usitatissimum (flax)
Lineage: Eukaryota; Viridiplantae; Streptophyta; Magnoliopsida; Malpighiales; Linaceae
Description: long non-coding RNA (LUSI_LNC005773)
Source: RNAcentral
GCAGUUUCUUCCUGGAUUGUAUUGUUUCGAAAUAUGCAUCAUAGCUGGCGAUUUUUUCCGUCUCUUUGUCCCCUUUGGCUUCUGACAUUUUUCUCUGGUACACAAUGGGCAGAUACAGAGCAAUUCAAUUGCCUAAUAGCGGUACGUAUCAUCUUGCUAUACGUAUCAUCUUUCUCCAAAUUCAAAGUCUUUUCAUACGUUAUUCAUACUUUUGCUACAAUAAUUAACUGCUAGUCCUAUGCAUGAUUAUUCAUCAGAAUCAAAGAUCAUGGUUAGUUAGUUAGCCAUUGCCAGAUCCUGAGAUCAUGAACGCAUGCAUGAUUCCUAUUCUGCAAAAAUCAUAACCAUUUCCAGGCUACAUUGAAAACUCUCCAUCUUCUUUUAGGAUCCGAAACGGGUUUGGCUUAUUUCUACGACUCAGAUUCAUGAAUUGCCACAUAGCAUCCGUCGAUUUGUAUCAAUAGAGGUGAGCGAUCCAGAAAAGUUACCUUAAUGCAGGAAGGGAGAAACAAUGAAGAUCCGGAAGAACUCUUUACGUUCAAAGAGGCAGAAGAAUUCAGAAAGAGUUUAAAAGGGCUUCCUUGAAUUCAGAUUCUUUGCUGAUGAUCAUGGACGGUUAGCUCCUUUUUCUUUGGUUUUGUUUCCACUCUGCUUUGCAUUGUUUUUGGCUUCCUGCUGCUACGUGCCUGAGUUUUAGUCCUCUUGACGUGUCUUAGCAUUCGUGGUGCAAUAACCACAAUUUCAGAUCCAAAAGCCAUAUACUGGAUUAUGGGCUGGUUCCAAUUGGGCCCAACAUAUGAUUUGGGCCUGAUCGGUCCAACUUAGCGUAGUGGAUGAUGGGGAGUUGGAGCAUUGGUUCUGUGCUUCAGUUGUGGUGCUCGCAGUGAUUUGGCACAUCUGGCUGGAUCGCAAUCAUCGUAUCUUUCGAGAUUCUUGUUUCUCAGCGGGGCAGAUGGCUAGAAAGGUCGGUGUUGCGACGGUCCGAUGGCUUGUUGAAAAAUGCCUCAAUGAGUUGGUUUCGUAGCAGACCGCUUCAUGAGCUAGACUAAUUUAUGUAUACAUCCUUUUUUGUCGAACACCUUAUAUUCUUUCUAACCGAAAAUGACGGUGCAAUGAAGAAAUCAACACUCGGUGGUAUUUUAUGCAUCCCAAUUGCAUUUUCAUCGUAGCAAAGCUUAUAUUUAUUUACUUUAGUCCUAACUAACUAGCUCAUUUUUCCCGCCAUACGCCUAACGCCUUUUUGAACCUUCGGUUUAAACCUCUUGCUAACAAAAACCAGUAGAGCAUGAACAUAGAUAACCC